GACAGAGGGGGCAAGCGUUGUCCGGAUUAACUGGGCGUACAGCGCGCGCAGGCGGCCGGCUACAUGCCUUGUGACAGGCGGGGGCUCAACCCCCGACGGCCAGGGUACACGGGCUGGCUCGAGGCAGAGAGAGGGCAGUGGAAUACCCGGUGGAGCGGUGAAAUGCGUAGAGAUCGGGUGGAACACCAGGGGCGAAGGCGGCUGCCUGGCUCUGACCUGACGCUGAGGCGGCGAGAGCGUGGGG
Molecule: ribosomal RNA, 244 nt
Filed under: uncultured bacterium
Lineage: Bacteria
Description: partial 16S ribosomal RNA
Rfam family: Bacterial small subunit ribosomal RNA
Source: RNAcentral